CGCUGGCGGCGUGGAUAGGGCAUGCAAGUCGCGCGAUCUGGGGCGGCCGCAAGGUGCUCCAGAUAGCGGCAAACGGGUGCGUAACGCGUGGGGAACUUACCCCGAAGCGCGGGAUAACAUCGCGAAAGCGGUGUUAAUACCGCAUAUACCCAUGAGGUCACAUGGUCUUAUGGGGAAAGAUGGCCUAGACCGUAAGGUUGCUAUUGCUUUGGGAGAGCCCCGCGUCCCAUCAGCUUGUUGGUAGGGUAACGGCCUACCAAGGCAUUUGACGGGUAGCUGGCUUGAGAGAGUGGUCAGCCACACUGGGACUGAGACACUGCCCAGACUCCUACGGGAGGCUGCAGUCGAGGAUCUUUGGCAAUGGGCGAAAGCCUGACCAUGCGACGCCGCGUGCGGGAUGAAGGCCUUCGGGUCGUAAACCGCUGUCACGAGGGAUGAAGACUUACUGGACAAAUAAUCCGGUGAGUUUGACGGUACCUCGAGAGGAAGCCACGGCUAACUCCGUGCCAGCAGCCGCGGUGAUACGGAGGUGGCAAGCGUUGCUCGGAUUCACUGGGUGUAAAGGGCAAGUAGGCGGCCCUGUAAGUCGGGUGUGAAAUCCCACGGCUCAACCGUGGAACUGCGCCCGAAACUAUAGGGCUUGAGGAUGGGAGAGGCGAACGGAAUUCCCGGUGUAAGGGUGAAAUCUGUAGAUAUCGGGAGGAACACCAGUGGCGAAGGCGGUUCGCUGGCCCGUUUCUGACGCUGAGAGGCGAAAGCUAGGGUAGCAAACAGGAUUAGAUACCCUGGUAGUCCUAGCCGUAAACGAUGAGCACUAGGUGUUGGGUUCCUUUUGGGACUCAGUGCCGUAGGUAACCUGUUAAGUGCUCCACCUGGGGAGUACGGCCGCAA
RNAcentral lists this ribosomal RNA (891 nucleotides) under uncultured bacterium. RNAcentral's name for it is "bacterial SSU rRNA". It matches the Rfam family "Bacterial small subunit ribosomal RNA", at positions 34 to 891 of the family's 1533-position model. The record is from RNAcentral.